ACCAGCCUUUACUUCCCCUUUCUUUCGCUGCAGCCUCAUCCUGGGGAGCACAGCGCUGUGUGCAGACGUGCCUUGGGCAUGGCAAGAAGGAGCUGGGAUGCCAGGGGUGCUGGUACCCUGCUCUUGCUGAGCUGGCUUGCAGGUGCCAGCGAGAUAGAGACGGAGACCUGCAGCUCCCCAGGUGACUUUCCCCCACCAGCACUCUUCUCAAACAGCUCUUCAGCUCAGGAAGGCGACUUGGUUCUGGCACGCUGCCUUGUUUUUUCCCACUUCCCCGUUGCCCGCAUCUUCUUCUGCAAGAACGGGGUGGAGCUGGCAAACCACCCAGUUGGGAAAGGGCAGUUCACCUCCACGCUCACCUUCCGGCUCUCCCCAGAGAGCAGCGGCACCUACUCCUGCGGGUACCUGCGCCUGAGCAGCCUCGGACAGGUCAAGCUUUCGAGGCUGAGUGUCCCGUGGCUCCUGAGUGCUGGAGGCAGGAAGGAUGCUCCAAGGAAUGACAGCACUGCCCCGAGCCCAGAGCUGGCAGCUGAAGGAAAGCGAGUCCAGCUGGCCAAGUUAAAGGCUUUCAUCUCCUGCUAGAAGGUCACAACACCUCACAAACACUGUGAAGGAAGAAAAGUCCAGGAGCCUUUUGCAGUCCUGCUGCUGGACCAGAGAAAUGCAUUGGGGUGCUGAGGACUGCUGCACAAGCCACUCUGAUAUCUGCAGUGCCCCACAGCCAUGUCAGGGGUAAUUGGCCCAGGAUGAUACGCCUUGGGUCARUGCCACCUGCACUGUGUAGGCAAUUGCCGAAAGCACCUCCUCAGCCUUUGCAGUGUCCUGAGCACCCAGCUGCUCCAUCUGCAGCCCCAGAGACACAGCACUCAGCCACAAAAUGCAGCUCUACUGCCAGAGCCAGCAGAGUUUGCUCCAGGCUCCUGGGAGCAGCUGUGAACAUUGCAGUGGAUCAGGAGCAAGAAGGUGCAUUCAUUAAAAAGGUGCUUCACCCUCUGAUUCUUGGUCCUUUUUAGUGGUCUCUGAAAGGCUAGGAGCUGAGAUCCUCCACCAGAUGCAGCUAGGAGCCAGAGUCCUAGGGGAGUCUCAGCUGUAGAGCUUGCCUCAGACAGGCACGGUUGGAGCCCAUAAAGAUGUAAGGGCUGGACUGCAUUUCGCAAAGGCACAGCCAGCACAAAGAACCGCUUGCCAGCAGCACCCAAGAGAGGAAGAGGCUACACCUGGCAGGACUCUCCAUCAGAGCCAUUUUGCACACUGUUCACCAAACACCUGAUGCAACAGACCCAUUCAACAGGGACAAAGGGUGAAGGGAAAGGGGAGAAGCUGGGUUUGCUCCAUAUCGCCCUGCCCCUAAUACCACUCUCUGGAGGGAGGAAAGUGGGGGGGUGUCAGGUCAUCGGAC
This 1399-nucleotide long non-coding RNA is filed under the name Apteryx rowi (Okarito brown kiwi). RNAcentral describes it as "lncRNA (ENSARWG00000011522.1)". Lineage: Eukaryota; Metazoa; Chordata; Aves; Apterygiformes; Apterygidae. The record is from RNAcentral.